UCUUUAUCCAGCUUUCCACUUUUUUUGGGUUUUUUUCCCCCCAAAAUCAAUAGGUCUUUUAUUGUAUCAUUUAAGUAUCACAAGUAGGUCUUAGGAAUCAUCCAGCAUCUUGUUUCUAUAGCUGGACAACUCUUAGAUCUUAUUCAUCAGCCUGCUGAAUAGUUUCUUUUUCUUUCUUUCUUUCUUUUUUUUUUUUUUUUU
Long non-coding RNA from Sapajus apella (tufted capuchin), 201 nucleotides. RefSeq lists it as uncharacterized. The transcript is spliced from 3 exons. NCBI's taxonomy places the organism in Eukaryota, Metazoa, Chordata, Mammalia, Primates, Cebidae. The record is from RefSeq and is a predicted model, not a curated record.